This 309-nucleotide long non-coding RNA is filed under the name Phoenix dactylifera (date palm). RNAcentral's name for it is "long non-coding RNA (PDAC_LNC003242)". Lineage: Eukaryota; Viridiplantae; Streptophyta; Magnoliopsida; Arecales; Arecaceae. The record is from RNAcentral.
CGUUCUUUGAGGACAUCGGCAGAGAAAAAUCCAAGACAAUGUAGAAGCAUUAAAUGAAUGGGUACCUUGUACCAUAUGCGUCCUUGCGCCGAGGCGACUGAAGACGCUUCUCUGCUCGGACUCCGUUCUUCGAGGACGUUGGCAGAGAAAUUCAAAAGCAGAAUAGAUAAUGUAAAAACAUUAAAUAAAUGGGUACCUUGUACCGUAUGCGUCCUGGCGCCGAGGCGACUGAAGACACUUCUCUGCUCAGACUCCGUUCUUCGAGGACGUCGGCAGAGAAAUCCAAAAGCAGAAUAGAUAAUGUAAAAA